UCUAGUUUUUUUGCGCCUAAAAUGUAUCGAGACUUAAGAAAUUUACCGAAGCGGCAAGUUUUAUUUAUAAUAAAACGGUAGCGGAACAUUCUGUAUGUUGAUAAAGAUAUGUUGUAAAAUAUAUUGAAGAUAUCAGAAAAGAAAAUGCUGGCAUUAGUAACAAAAAAUAAUGAAUAAGAAUCAUUAUCACCGUAAAUCCAAGGGUUUCUAUGUUAAAAUGUAUUUCAUAGAGUGAAACGGCCCCUAAGAAAGAUUUGACGAAAGCAAAUUUUGAUGGGAUAAUUUUUAAAUUAAAUUUUUUAAAAAAAGUGACAAAAAGUUUUACUUUUUCAGGAAAUAGCUUUUUUUAAAAAAAACCGUACCCUAAACCGACACAGGUGGAUAGGUCGAGUAGACUAAGGUGGAUGAGAGAAUUAUAUUGAAGGAACUCGGCAAAAUGACUCUGUAACUUCGGGAUAAAGAGUACCUAAAUAUUAUAUUUAGGUGUCACAAAAUAGGGGGUUGCGACUGUUUAAUAAAAACUUAGGACUCUGCUAAAUGGUAACAUGAUGUAUAGGGUCUGACACCUGCCCGGUGCUGGAAGAUUAAUAGGAGAUGUUUGCGCAUUGAAUGGAAGUCCCAGUAAACGGCGGCCGUAACUCUGACGGUCCUAAGGUAGCGAAAUUCCUUGUCGGGUAAGUUCCGACCUGCAUGAAUGGUGUAACGACAUCCCCGCUGUCUCCAAUAUAAACUCAGUGAAUUUGAAUUAUCCGUGAAGAUGCGGAUUCUCUAUAGUUAGACGGAAAGACCCCGUGAACCUUUACUACAUCUUUAUAUUGUUAUUUUAUCUAAUAUGUGUAGCAUAAGUGGGAAUCAAUAAGACCUUCACGCUAGUGAAUUGUUUAGAUAACAUUGAAAUACCACUCUUAUUAAAUAAAUAACUAAUAUUUUAUAAAUAGACAGUGUAUGGUGGUAGUUUGACUGGGGCGGUCACCUCCUAAAGAGUAACGGAGGUGUACAAAGGUAAGCUCAAAUUGGAUUAUAUUAUCAAUUGUAGAGCGCAAUGGUAUAAGCUUGCUUGACUGUAAGAUAGACAUAUCAAACAGGGACGAAAGUCGGUCAUAGUGAUCCGAUAAUUCUUUGUGGAAAGAUUAUCGCUCAACGGAUAAAAGGUACUCCGGGGAUAACAGGCUGAUGACUCCUAAGAGCUCCUAUCGACGGAGUCGUUUGGCACCUCGAUGUCGACUCAUCACAUCCUGGAGCUGAAGAAGGUUCCAAGGGUUCGGCUGUUCGCCGAUUAAAGUGGUACGUGAGUUGGGUUUAGAACGUCGUGAGACAGUUUGGUUCCUAUCUUCUAUAGAUAUUUUGAAAAAUGAAAGAAUCUAACUCUAGUACGAGAGGACCGAGAAGGGUAAAUCACUGGUGUAUCGGUUGUUUAAUAGGCAUCGCCGAGUAGCUAAAUUUAUUUUGGAUAAUUACUGAAAGCAUCUAAGUAAGAAACCAUUCUUAAAAAUUUUUCAUAUGAAAACUGUAAAAGACUAUUACAUUGAUAGGUUUUAAGUGUAAGUAUCGUAAGGUAUUCAGCUUAAAAAUACUAAAAGUUUCAAAAUUUUAAAUAU
Molecule: non-coding RNA, 1598 nt
Filed under: Globisporangium ultimum DAOM BR144
Lineage: Eukaryota; Oomycota; Peronosporomycetes; Pythiales; Pythiaceae
Description: Pythium ultimum DAOM BR144 Bacterial large subunit ribosomal RNA
Rfam family: Bacterial large subunit ribosomal RNA
Source: Rfam by way of RNAcentral